AUAGACUGGAUGGUCUGAACGGAAAAUGGGGAAAUUGGCCCCAAAAUUGGCCCCAAAAGUGACACUGUGGGACCAAAUAUGGGGAAAUUGGACCCAAACGCGGCGCUCGGGACUGAAAUUGGAGAAAUUUGCCCCAAAACGGUCAUACGUGGGAUGGACAUACAUGGGAUGGACAUACAUGGAACAGUCGUAUGUCGGAUGUGGGACAGACGGACGCAGAACAUGGGAUGGACGCAGCACAGUCAGACACAAAACAUGAGAUGGACUCGGGACAGACGGACAUGAGAUGGACACGGGACAGUCAGAUGUGGAACAGGGGUGGACACAUGGAAUGAUCAUACGUGUGACAGGCAUACAUGGAAUCGUCAUAUUGGGACAGUAACACGGAACAGUCAUACGUGUGGUGGACACACGGAACGGUCAUAUGUGUGAUGGACACACGGAACGGUCAUACAUGAGAAGGACAGAUGGAAUGGUCAUAUGUGUGACAGACAUACAUGGAAUGGUCAUACGUGGGAUGGACACACGGAAUGGUCAUACGUGGGAUGGACAUACAUGCAAUGGUCAUACGUGGCGCACAGCCCUCACGUGGGACAGUCGGACACGGGACAGACGGAUGUGGAACAUGGAAUGGACACGGAACAGUCGGACGUGAGACAGACACGGGACUGUCAUACGUGAGACAGGUACAGGGUGUGGGUUGGACACAGGACAGUUGGACAUCGGACAGUCAGACACGGGACAGUCAGAUGCAGAACAUGAGAUGGACACGGGACAGUCAGACAUGGAACAUGGGAUGGACACGGGACAGUCAGACACAGGACAAUCGGACACAAAACAUGGGAUGGACACGCAACAGUCGGACAUGGAACAUGGGAUGGACACGGGACAGUCAGACAUGAAACAUGGGAUGGACAUGGGACAGUCGCACAUGAAACAGUCAGACACGGGACAAUCGGACACAAAAUAUGGGAUGGACAUGGGACAGUC
RNAcentral lists this long non-coding RNA (990 nucleotides) under Phasianus colchicus (ring-necked pheasant). Its description in RNAcentral is "lncRNA (ENSPCLG00000017418.1)". The record is from RNAcentral. Lineage: Eukaryota; Metazoa; Chordata; Aves; Galliformes; Phasianidae.